AGAGUUUGAUCCUGGCUCAGGACGAACGCUGGCGGCGUGCCUAAUACAUGCAAGUCGAGCGGACAGAUGGGAGCUUGCUCCCUGAUGUUAGCGGCGGACGGGUGAGUAACACGUGGGUAACCUGCCUGUAAGACUGGGAUAACUCCGGGAAACCGGGGCUAAUACCGGAUGGUUGUUUGAACCGCAUGGUUCAAACAUAAAAGGUGGCUUCGGCUACCACUUACAGAUGGACCCGCGGCGCAUUAGCUAGUUGGUGAGGUAACGGCUCACCAAGGCGACGAUGCGUAGCCGACCUGAGAGGGUGAUCGGCCACACUGGGACUGAGACACGGCCCAGACUCCUACGGGAGGCAGCAGUAGGGAAUCUUCCGCAAUGGACGAAAGUCUGACGGAGCAACGCCGCGUGAGUGAUGAAGGUUUUCGGAUCGUAAAGCUCUGUUGUUAGGGAAGAACAAGUACCGUUCGAAUAGGGCGGUACCUUGACGGUACCUAACCAGAAAGCCACGGCUAACUACGUGCCAGCAGCCGCGGUAAUACGUAGGUGGCAAGCGUUGUCCGGAAUUAUUGGGCGUAAAGGGCUCGCAGGCGGUUUCUUAAGUCUGAUGUGAAAGCCCCCGGCUCAACCGGGGAGGGUCAUUGGAAACUGGGGAACUUGAGUGCAGAAGAGGAGAGUGGAAUUCCACGUGUAGCGGUGAAAUGCGUAGAGAUGUGGAGGAACACCAGUGGCGAAGGCGACUCUCUGGUCUGUAACUGACGCUGAGGAGCGAAAGCGUGGGGAGCGAACAGGAUUAGAUACCCUGGUAGUCCACGCCGUAAACGAUGAGUGCCAAGUGUUAGGGGGUUUCCGCCCCUUAGUGCUGCAGCUAACGCAUUAAGCACUCCGCCUGGGGAGUACGGUCGCAAGACUGAAACUCAAAGGAAUUGACGGGGGCCCGCACAAGCGGCGGAGCAUGUGGUUUAAUUCGAAGCAACGCGAAGAACCUUACCAGGUCUUGACAUCCUCUGACAAUCCUAGAGAUAGGACGUCCCCUUCGGGGGCAGAGUGACAGGUGGUGCAUGGUUGUCGUCAGCUCGUGUCGUGAGAUGUUGGGUUAAGUCCCGCAACGAGCGCAACCCUUGAUCUUAGUUGCCAGCAUUCAGUUGGGCACUCUAAGGUGACUGCCGGUGACAAACCGGAGGAAGGUGGGGAUGACGUCAUAUCAUCAUGCCCCUUAUGACCUGGGCUACACACGUGCUACAAUGGACAGAACAAAGGGCAGCGAAACCGCGAGGUUAAGCCAAUCCCACAAAUCUGUUCUCAGUUCGGAUCGCAGUCUGCAACUCGACUGCGUGAAGCUGGAAUCGCUAGUAAUCGCGGAUCAGCAUGCCGCGGUGAAUACGUUCCCGGGCCUUGUACACACCGCCCAUCACACCACGAGAGUUUGUAACACCCGAAGUCGGUGAGGUAACCUUUUAGGAGCCAGCCGCCGAAGGUGGGACAGAUGAUUGGGGUGAAGUCGUAACAAGGUA
This 1508-nucleotide ribosomal RNA is filed under the name metagenome. Its description in RNAcentral is "bacterial SSU rRNA". It matches the Rfam family "Bacterial small subunit ribosomal RNA". The record is from RNAcentral.